GAUGAACGCUGGCGGCGUGCCUAAUACAUGCAAGUCGAGCGAACGGACGAGAAGCUUGCUUCUCUGAUGUUAGCGGCGGACGGGUGAGUAACACGUGGAUAACCUACCUAUAAGACUGGGAUAACUUCGGGAAACCGGAGCUAAUACCGGAUAAUAUUUUGAACCGCAUGGUUCAAAAGUGAAAGACGGUCUUGCUGUCACUUAUAGAUGGAUCCGCGCUGCGUUAGCUAGUUGGCAAGGUAACGGCUUACCAAGGCAACGAUGCAUAGCCGACCUGAGAGGGUGAUCGGCCACACUGGAACUGAGACACGGUCCAGACUCCUACGGGAGGCAGCAGUAGGGAAUCUUCCGCAAUGGGCGAAAGCCUGACGGAGCAACGCCGCGUGAGUGAUGAAGGUCUUCGGAUCGUAAAACUCUGUUAUUAGGGAAGAACAUAUGUGUAAGUAACUGUGCACAUCUUGUCGGUACCUAAUCAGAAAGCCACGGCUAACUACGUG
RNAcentral lists this ribosomal RNA (497 nucleotides) under uncultured bacterium. RNAcentral describes it as "partial 16S ribosomal RNA". It matches the Rfam family "Bacterial small subunit ribosomal RNA", at positions 28 to 507 of the family's 1533-position model. The record is from RNAcentral.